RNAcentral lists this ribosomal RNA (1413 nucleotides) under Staphylococcus sp. Its description in RNAcentral is "bacterial SSU rRNA". It matches the Rfam family "Bacterial small subunit ribosomal RNA". The record is from RNAcentral. Lineage: Bacteria; Bacillati; Bacillota; Bacilli; Caryophanales; Staphylococcaceae.
CUAAUACAUGCAAGUCGAGCGAACAGACAAGGAGCUUGCUCCUUUGACGUUAGCGGCGGACGGGUGAGUAACACGUGGGUAACCUACCUAUAAGACUGGGAUAACUUCGGGAAACCGGAGCUAAUACCGGAUAAUAUUUCGAACCGCAUGGUUCGAUAGUGAAAGAUGGUUUUGCUAUCACUUAUAGAUGGACCCGCGCCGUAUUAGCUAGUUGGUAAGGUAACGGCUUACCAAGGCGACGAUACGUAGCCGACCUGAGAGGGUGAUCGGCCACACUGGAACUGAGACACGGUCCAGACUCCUACGGGAGGCAGCAGUAGGGAAUCUUCCGCAAUGGGCGAAAGCCUGACGGAGCAACGCCGCGUGAGUGAUGAAGGUCUUCGGAUCGUAAAACUCUGUUAUUAGGGAAGAACAUACGUGUAAGUAACUAUGCACGUCUUGACGGUACCUAAUCAGAAAGCCACGGCUAACUACGUGCCAGCAGCCGCGGUAAUACGUAGGUGGCAAGCGUUAUCCGGAAUUAUUGGGCGUAAAGCGCGCGUAGGCGGUUUUUUAAGUCUGAUGUGAAAGCCCACGGCUCAACCGUGGAGGGUCAUUGGAAACUGGAAAACUUGAGUGCAGAAGAGGAAAGUGGAAUUCCAUGUGUAGCGGUGAAAUGCGCAGAGAUAUGGAGGAACACCAGUGGCGAAGGCGACUUUCUGGUCUGUAACUGACGCUGAUGUGCGAAAGCGUGGGGAUCAAACAGGAUUAGAUACCCUGGUAGUCCACGCCGUAAACGAUGAGUGCUAAGUGUUAGGGGGUUUCCGCCCCUUAGUGCUGCAGCUAACGCAUUAAGCACUCCGCCUGGGGAGUACGACCGCAAGGUUGAAACUCAAAGGAAUUGACGGGGACCCGCACAAGCGGUGGAGCAUGUGGUUUAAUUCGAAGCAACGCGAAGAACCUUACCAAAUCUUGACAUCCUUUGACAACUCUAGAGAUAGAGCCUUCCCCUUCGGGGGACAAAGUGACAGGUGGUGCAUGGUUGUCGUCAGCUCGUGUCGUGAGAUGUUGGGUUAAGUCCCGCAACGAGCGCAACCCUUAAGCUUAGUUGCCAUCAUUAAGUUGGGCACUCUAAGUUGACUGCCGGUGACAAACCGGAGGAAGGUGGGGAUGACGUCAAAUCAUCAUGCCCCUUAUGAUUUGGGCUACACACGUGCUACAAUGGACAAUACAAAGGGCAGCGAAACCGCGAGGUCAAGCAAAUCCCAUAAAGUUGUUCUCAGUUCGGAUUGUAGUCUGCAACUCGACUACAUGAAGCUGGAAUCGCUAGUAAUCGUAGAUCAGCAUGCUACGGUGAAUACGUUCCCGGGUCUUGUACACACCGCCCGUCACACCACGAGAGUUUGUAACACCCGAAGCCGGUGGAGUAACCAU